Molecule: ribosomal RNA, 445 nt
Filed under: uncultured bacterium
Lineage: Bacteria
Description: partial 16S ribosomal RNA
Rfam family: Bacterial small subunit ribosomal RNA
Source: RNAcentral
GUGAGGAAUAUUGGUCAAUGGGCGGGAGCCUGAACCAGCCAAGUCGCGUGAAGGAAGAAGGAUCUAUGGUUCGUAAACUUCUUUUGCAGGGGAAUAAAGUGCAGGACGUGUCCUGUUUUGUAUGUACCCUGAGAAUAAGGAUCGGCUAACUCCGUGCCAGCAGCCGCGGUAAUACGGAGGAUCCGAGCGUUAUCCGGAUUUAUUGGGUUUAAAGGGUGCGUAGGUGGUUUGAUAAGUCAGCGGUGAAAGUUUGCAGCUUAACUGUAAAAAUGCCGUUGAAACUGUCGGACUUGAGUGUAAAUGAGGUAGGCGGAAUGCGUGUUGUAGCGGUGAAAUGCAUAGAUAUCACGCAGAACUCCGAUUGCGAAGGCAGCUUACUAAGCUACAACUGACACUGAAGCACGAAAGCGUGGGGAUCAAACAGGAUUAGAAACCCCAGUAGUCC